Molecule: long non-coding RNA, 378 nt
Filed under: Homo sapiens (human)
Lineage: Eukaryota; Metazoa; Chordata; Mammalia; Primates; Hominidae
Description: non-protein coding lnc-ZNF804B-2:5
Source: RNAcentral
CCACCAGAUCCUUCCCCCAACACUGAGGAUUACAAUUCAACAUGAAAUUUACCGGGGGGACAAAGAGUCAAACGGUAUCAGCUUAGUACCUGGCAUCUUCAACCUUUCUGGACUACAGCACCUGCCAACUGACCCCCACAUCAUGGCUCCAACGCUGGCUUCAUCACAUAUCUUCUCUCUCAGUCCCUUUGGCUCUCAGGGUGCAAUAGCUUAACAAAAUUGCUGAUCUAGGUGCCUCAGCAUUGUUUCUUUGUCAUAGUCUCUGUAUUAUCUUAUUUUGAGCCAUUCUUUUCCUGCAAAGAUCCUAACUGAAUGAGAUAACUACUUCAUAAGCUAUUUGUAAGGUUUAAAUAAAUUAAUGCAUAUUUAAUACAUGAA